GGACCCGCACAAGCGGUGGAUGAUGUGGAUUAAUUCGAUGCAACGCGAAAAAACCUUACCUACCCUUGACAUGUCAGGAAUUUUGCAGAGAUGCGAAAGUGCUCGAAAGAGAACCUGAACACAGGUGCUGCAUGGCUGUCGUCAGCUCGUGUCGUGAGAUGUUGGGUUAAGUCCCGCAACGAGCGCAACCCUUGUCAUUAGUUGCUACGCAAGGGCACUCAAUGAGACUGCCGGUGACAAACGGAGGAAGGUGGGGACGACGUCAAGUCCUCAUGGCCCUUAUGGGUAGGGGCUUCACACGUCAUACAAUGGUUGGUACAGAGGGUCGCGAACCCGCGAGGGG
RNAcentral lists this ribosomal RNA (343 nucleotides) under uncultured bacterium. RNAcentral describes it as "bacterial SSU rRNA". It matches the Rfam family "Bacterial small subunit ribosomal RNA", at positions 917 to 1264 of the family's 1533-position model. The record is from RNAcentral.